RNAcentral lists this transfer RNA (84 nucleotides) under Cyphellophora europaea CBS 101466. RNAcentral describes it as "tRNA-Gly (CCC) (tRNA-Gly-CCC-2-1)". Lineage: Eukaryota; Fungi; Ascomycota; Eurotiomycetes; Chaetothyriales; Cyphellophoraceae. The record is from RNAcentral.
GCGUGAAUAGUUUAAGGGUAGAAUUCGAGCUUCCCAUGCUCGAGGCCCGUGUUCGAGGUAAGAAUUACAGGCUCUCUAAACGCA